ACCUUCCUGCAACCUGUGCUCAGGCGUCACUUCCCAGAACAAUCCACUAGUGACUCACCUUGAACUUGAGAUGAAUACUGGCUGCCUGUAGAUAAGAGGAUGGAGAAUCACUUUCCUUCUGCUACAUUUUUGCUAUUUGAGUUAAGAAGACACAAUGUAUUAUCAUCUACAUGAUACUUUUUAUUAUAAAAUGAAUAAUGCCGUCUGUAAGUUUUUAAAGGUUA
Molecule: non-coding RNA, 224 nt
Organism: Cricetulus griseus (Chinese hamster)
Lineage: Eukaryota; Metazoa; Chordata; Mammalia; Rodentia; Cricetidae
Source: RefSeq, a predicted model, not a curated record